GUGGGGAAUUUUGCGCAAUGGGGGAAACCCUGACGCAGCAACGCCGCGUGAGUGAUGAAGGCUUUCGGGUCGUAAAGCUCUGUCAGAGGGGAAGAAAUGUAUAGGUGCUAAUACCGCUUAUACUUGACGGUACCCUCAAAGGAAGCACCGGCUAACUCCGUGCCAGCAGCCGCGGUAAUACGGAGGGUGCGAGCGUUGUUCGGAAUUAUUGGGCGUAAAGCGCGUGUAGGCGGUCUUUUAAGUCUGAUGUGAAAGCCCUGGGCUCAACCCAGGAAGUGCAUUGGAAACUGGGAGACUUGAAUACGGGAGAGGGUAGUGGAAUUCCUAGUGUAGGAGUGAAAUCCGUAGAUAUUAGGAGGAACACCGGUGGCGAAGGCGGCUACCUGGACCGAUAUUGACGCUGAGACGCGAAAGCGUGGGUAGCAAACAGGAUUAGAUACCCCAGUAGUCC
RNAcentral lists this ribosomal RNA (451 nucleotides) under uncultured bacterium. RNAcentral's name for it is "bacterial SSU rRNA". It matches the Rfam family "Bacterial small subunit ribosomal RNA", at positions 354 to 796 of the family's 1533-position model. The record is from RNAcentral.